This is a long non-coding RNA of Malaclemys terrapin pileata, 2128 nucleotides long. RefSeq lists it as uncharacterized. The transcript has 3 exons. The record is from RefSeq and is a predicted model, not a curated record. NCBI's taxonomy places the organism in Eukaryota, Metazoa, Chordata, Testudines, Emydidae.
CUGGCAUGGAUCUGGUAUCGCUGCUUGCCUCCUGCAUGUUCCUCUGCACCCCACUUAUUUGACAAAAGCGGACGUUUGUCAGUUGCUCUUCCCCGGAUGGGGGUGAAAGGGAUAGAUGGUACCCCACAGGAAGGAAUUCCAAAUUGCGCCUUCCUGGGCUCUCAGUGGGGUUCUGCACUUGAGUGGUGGCAGCAUCUACCAAUCCAAGAAAUCAAGGUUCUCCAGUUUACAGCCCAGGAGAGAGAGAACGCUGAAUGGUCUGAAGGAGUCUACUAAGAAGGGAAAAGCAACGGUGGCGUAGAAGAGGUGAGCCUUUCCAUAACCCUUGGGUAUAAGCAGUGACAGCAAAUCCAGGAGCUGUGCACCAGCUUCGUGCCAAUGUUUUCAGCCACCCCAGGACAGACAGAACGGGCGUACCACUCCAUUGACACAGGUAAUGCUCGCCCAGUUAGAACCCAACCCUACCGGAUGAUUUCUCAAGCCAAAGCCGUGAUAGUAAUGGAGAUCAAGGACAUGUUACAGAUGGGUGUAAUCCACCCCUCUGAGAGAGCAUGGGCCUCUCCAGUAGUUCUGGUUCUCAAACCAGAUGGGGAAAUCCGCUUUUGCAUGAACUACCGUAAGCUAAAUGCUGUAACUCGCCCAGAGAACUGUCCAGUGCCACACACAGAUGAGCUGUUGGAGAAACUGGGACGUGCCCAAUUCAUCUCCACCUUAGACUUAAUUAAGGGGUAUUGGCAAGUGCCGCUAGAUAAACCAGACAAGGAAAGGUCAGCCUUCAUCGCCCAUGUAGGGCUGUGAAUUUAAUGUGCUCCCUUUUGGACUGCGAAAAAAGAAUGUUAUGCCAUUGUGUAUGCUCUGAAGAAGCUACACCUAUACAUUUGGGGAUGGCAUUUCCACAUACAGGCUGACAAUGCUGCACUGAAGUGGCUUCACACAGUCAAAGAGACUAACAAAAAACUUCUUCGGUGAAGUUUAGCUCUUCAAGACUUUGAUUUUGAAAUACAACACAUUUCAGGAGCCUCUAACAAAGUGGCUGAUGCACUCUCCCAGGCAGGUUUCCCAGAAUCAGCCAAGUAAAAGUGUCCCUAUAUUCUAAGUCAUUGUAGUCCUUAAAAUGUGGAUAAUACUGUUUAGUUCUUUGUGUAAUUAGUAGUAAAAUUAGAGGUGCAUAUAUACUAUUAACUCUGUUUUCCUAAACCUCUAGGUUGAACCAGGCUGGCCAACACCAUCUGUGAUUUGGGGGGCAUGUGAUAGAUGAAGAGGGGAGGAGUAGCUCCCUUUUAUGGACACUCAGCCAGUCAGUAGCUGAGGCUAGGUCUACACUAUCCGCCUGAAUCGGCGGGUAGAAAUCGAUCUCUCGGGGAUCGAAUUAUCGCGUCUCGUCGGAACGCGACAGUCGAUCCCCGAAUCGACGCUCUUACUCCACCAGCGGAGGUGGGAGUAAGCGCCGUCGACAGGGAGCCGCGGAGGUCGAUUUUGCCGCUGUCCUCACAGCGGGGUAAGUCGGCUCCGAUAGGUCGAAUUCAGCUACGCUAUUCACGUAGCUGAAUUUGCAUAUCUUAAAUCGCCCCCCCUCCCCCCCCGUAGUGAAGACCUGCCCUAAAAAUCCCACUUAGUAGCUGUUCUCUAAUUGCUCUACCUGUAAAGGCUUAAAAAGUCUCAUUGCUAUGUAUAAGUAAAAGGAAGUGAGUGGGCACCUGGCCAAAAGAGCCAAUGGGAAGGCUAGAACUUUUUAAAAUUGAAAAAAAACUCCCCUUUUUUCUGUCUGUUGUUGCUCUCCUGGGGAGAGGCAAACAGGCCAGCAGCUAUGCUGUAAGAAGCCUGGGCCAGCUAUGAAAAAGUCAUCAGUAUCAUACCUAGAAACUACUCAUUUAAAACCCCAGAUAUGUAAGUAGAUCAGGAAAUGUCUAGGAAGACACAAUUAGGUUUAUCCCUUUUAUUUCAUUAUGGCUUGUGGAUUCCUCUAUGCUAACCCCAGGUGCUUUUGUUUUGCUUGUAACCUUUAAACUGGACUUCAAGAAAGCUAUUCUUGGUGCUUAAUUCUUGUAAUUGCUCUUUUAAAAUCUAGUAAUAGCCUGAGUUCCCAGAUUAUUUUCUUUCUUUUUUUAUUAAUAAAAUUUAUCUUUUU